GAUGAACGCUGGCGGCGUGCCUAAUACAUGCAAGUCGAACGCUUCACUUCGGUGAAGAGUGGCGAACGGGUGAGGAAUACAUAAGUAACCUGGCAUCUACAGGGGGAUAACUGAUGGAAACGUCAGCUAAGACCGCAUAGGUGUAGAGAUCGCAUGAACUCUAUAUGAAAAGUGCUACGGGACUGGUAGAUGAUGGACUUAUGGCGCAUUAGCUUGUUGGUAGGGUAACGGCCUACCAAGGCGACGAUGCGUAGCCGACCUGAGAGGGUGACCGGCCACACUGGAACUGAGACACGGCCCAGACUCCUACGGGAGGCAGCAGUAGGGAAUUUUCGGCAAUGGGGGAAACCCUGACCGAGCAACGCCGCGUGAAGGAAGAAGUACUUCGUUAUGUAAACUUCUGUCAUAGAGGAAGAACGGUUGAUAUAGGGAAUGAUAUCCAAGUGACGGUACUCUAUAAGAAAGCCACGGCUAACUACGUG
This 482-nucleotide ribosomal RNA is filed under the name uncultured bacterium. RNAcentral's name for it is "partial 16S ribosomal RNA". It matches the Rfam family "Bacterial small subunit ribosomal RNA", at positions 28 to 507 of the family's 1533-position model. The record is from RNAcentral.